ACUCCUACGGGAGGCAGCAGUGGGGAAUAUUGCACAAUGGGCGCAAGCCUGAUGCAGCCAUGCCGCGUGUAUGAAGAAGGCCUUCGGGUUGUAAAGUACUUUCAGCAGUGAGGAAGGUGGGUAUGUUAAUAGCAUAUUCAUUUGACGUUAGCUGCAGAAGAAGCACCGGCUAACUCCGUGCCAGCAGCCGCGGUAAUACGGAGGGUGCGAGCGUUAAUCGGAAUUACUGGGCGUAAAGCGCAUGCAGGUGGUUUGUUAAGUCAGAUGUGAAAGCCCGGGGCUCAACCUCGGAAUUGCAUUUGAAACUGGCAAACUAGAGUACUGUAGAGGGGGGUAGAAUUUCAGGUGUAGCGGUGAAAUGCGUAGAGAUCUGAAGGAAUACCGGUGGCGAAGGCGGCCCCCUGGACAGAUACUGACACUCAGAUGCGAAAGCGUGGGGAGCAAACAGGAUUAGAUACCCUGGUUAGGCUCUGC
Molecule: ribosomal RNA, 474 nt
Filed under: uncultured bacterium
Lineage: Bacteria
Description: bacterial SSU rRNA
Rfam family: Bacterial small subunit ribosomal RNA
Source: RNAcentral